Saccostrea cuccullata (small rock oyster) is the source of this 843-nucleotide long non-coding RNA. RefSeq lists it as uncharacterized. The transcript has 3 exons. The record is from RefSeq and is a predicted model, not a curated record. Lineage: Eukaryota; Metazoa; Mollusca; Bivalvia; Ostreida; Ostreidae.
CUUGCGUUGAAAAGUUGAAAUCCCAGAGAGGUAAAAUAAACCUCUAGUAUAUCUAUGUGUCUUAAGAUUCAAUCUCGGAAGAUAGGCUACAGAUAUCUGUGUUUUCAUCAUUUGAAGCCUUAGAGUAUUGAAAAAUACCAGAUUCUACGGACCCUGGACCCAGUUUUAAAUGGUAGAAAAAAACUUGGAGACAUCAAUUCAAUUGAAAAGCAUUAGAGGAUUACUAUGGCCUCUUCCUCUUACGCGUCUACAGAGGAGACGACAAAUGCCUGUAGAGCCUGUCGACUUCUCCUUGGUCCGUGUACAGAUCAAAUUAGGGAUGUUUUAGUUCACCAUGUACCACCAUCAACAUUUCCACAAGUCAUUAAACAAAAGAGGAGUAAUCUUCCCCGUCUGACAGCUCAACAGAUGAAUCUUAUUUUACCCAGAGGUAGUAGUUAUACAGGAAACUAUGGUGAUAUGGAUUUUUCCUUAUUGUACAUACUACUGAGGAAUAUUUGUGGUAUACCACCACACAGCAAUGGCUGGGGAUUUGAUCCAGACCCUACAGAUCGAUCUCUCUCUCUCUGCCAAUAUUGAGAGAAUACGUAUUGCCAGAAAUCAGUGUGUACAUUCUUCUAGUCCUUUCCUCUCCAAUGCCGAUUUCAACACAGUCUGGUCCACUGUCAGAUCUGCAGUUGUGGAAAUUGAUUCUUUCCUUGGCAAUGGGAACAAAUUUGAAAGAGCAGUGGACUUUCUGAGACAGGAGACAAUGGACCCUGUCCGUGACCUCCAUUACAUAGAAGAACUAAGGAAACAGGCUGAAGAAGAUGAAGAAACUAGAGAACUGGUUCAAGGCCUGAA